CCCUUAGAUGUCCUGGGCCGCACGCGCGUUACACUGAUGCAUUCAACGAGCUUAUAACCUUGGCCGAGAGGCCUGGGCAAUCUUGUUAACGUGCAUCGUGAUAGGGAAAGAUUAUUGAAAUUAUUAAUCUUGAACGAGGAAUUCCUAGUAAACGCAGAUCAUCAAUCUGCAUUGAUUACGUCCCUGCCCUUUGUACACACCGCCCGUCGCACCUACCGAUUGGAUGGUCCGGUGAAGCCUCGGGAUUGUGGUUCUUGCCGCUUUAUUGUGGCGUGACCGCGAGAACUUGUCUAAACCUUAUCAUCUAGAGGAAGGUGAAGUCGUAACA
RNAcentral lists this ribosomal RNA (328 nucleotides) under uncultured eukaryote. RNAcentral's name for it is "partial 18S ribosomal RNA". It matches the Rfam family "Eukaryotic small subunit ribosomal RNA", at positions 1470 to 1796 of the family's 1831-position model. The record is from RNAcentral.